Molecule: long non-coding RNA, 519 nt
Filed under: Carica papaya (papaya)
Lineage: Eukaryota; Viridiplantae; Streptophyta; Magnoliopsida; Brassicales; Caricaceae
Description: long non-coding RNA (CPAP_LNC013554)
Source: RNAcentral
ACAAAUCGAACUAAUUUCUUUAACCGAUUUAAUUUUUCAGUUCCCUGGGUUUUUCUCGCGCCUAUAAACUCUGUAGUCGUCAUUAUUGGAAAAGUGGAAGGAUGAUAUAGAUAUUUUGUUUGAUCAAGAGGACAAUAUAGGAAUUUAAGUCGGUAGAUUCGCACAAGUGUCGAUUGACAUUUCAUUAUUCUCUAUCUGGGUUUCGGUAGUCUUUUUGACUUCUGUGUCUACGAUCUAAUUUCCUUGAAAUUGCAGAGUUCUUUUUGCUGAAUUUCUCGGGGGUUUUUAUAUUAUUGUAAUACAUCAGUGGGUCUUUAAUCUUCGUUGGAUUCAGAUUUUGGGUUAAAAGUUCUCUGCUGAUCACAGUUUGUACUGGGUAGAUCUUAUAUGGUGAUUUAUAUUCGCUUUCUCGAUUUUCUUUUAUGUUAAUUGCUACUAGUUUCUGUGGGUAUGAUGCGCUCCAUUUUCUUUUGCUUUGGAUUUUUUUUUGUCUUUAAUGUAGCGGCUACUUUGUUCUUA